Molecule: ribosomal RNA, 200 nt
Filed under: uncultured bacterium
Lineage: Bacteria
Description: partial 16S ribosomal RNA
Rfam family: Bacterial small subunit ribosomal RNA
Source: RNAcentral
AUUGAACGCUGGCGGCAGGCCUAACACAUGCAAGUCGAGCGGGGUUUUCGGACCUAGCGGCGGACGGGUGAGUAAUGCGUAGGAAGCUGCCCGAUAGAGGGGGAUACCAGUUGGAACCGACUGUUAAUACCGCAUAAUGUCUACGGACCAAAGUGUGGGACCUUCGGGCCACAUGCUAUCGGAUGCGCCUACGUGGGAUU